UGGCGGAAUUGUAGCUGGCCCCAAUCGGGCAUGUGCACAUUCUGUUCAUUCCAUUCUCAUACACCUCUGUGCACUUUUCAUAGGUUUGGUAUAGAAAAAGGUUCUCUACGGACUUUUGGAUAUGCUGACCUAUGCUUUUACAAACGCUUCAGUUUUAGAAUGUCAUCUGCGUAUAACGCAACAAAUACAACUUUCAGCAACGGAUCUCUUGGCUCUCGCAUCGAUGAAGAACGCAGCGAAAUGCGAUAAGUAAUGUGAAUUGCAGAAUUCAGUGAAUCAUCGAAUCUUUGAACGCAUCUUGCGCCCCUUGGUAUUCCGAGGGGCAUGCCUGUUUGAGUGUCAUGGUAAUCUCAAUACCCCAAAUCUUUGCGGAUGAGGGUGUGUUGGACUUGGAGGUUUUUGCAGGCGAUAAUUUUAUUAUUAUUACCAGCUCCUCUUAAAUGCAUUAGCAGAGAUAAUACUGCUACUCUCCAGUGUGAUAAUUGUCUACACUGUUAGUAGUGCGGUAUAACCAAAGUCUAUGCUUCUAAUCGUCUUCGGACAACUUUUGACAAUCUGACCUCAAAUCAGGUAGGACUACCCGCUGAACUUAAGCAUAUCAAUAAGCGGAGGAAAAGAAACUAACAAGGAUUCCCCUAGUAACUGCGAGUGAAGCGGGAAAAGCUCAAAUUUAAAAUCUGGCAGCCUUUGGUUGUCCGAGUUGUAGUCUGGAGAAGCGUUUUCCGUGCCGGACCGUGUAUAAGUCCCUUGGAAUAGGGCGUCAUAGAGGGUGAGAAUCCCGUCUUUGACACGGACUACCGGUGCUUUGUGAUGCGCUCUCAAAGAGUCGAGUUGUUUGGGAAUGCAGCUCAAAAUGGGUGGUAAAUUCCAUCUAAAGCUAAAUAUUGGCGAGAGACCGAUAGCGAACAAGUACCGUGAGGGAAAGAUGAAAAGCACUUUGGAAAGAGAGUUAAACAGUACGUGAAAUUGCUGAAAGGGAAACGCUUGAAGUCAGUCGCGUUAUGCAGAACUCAGCCUGGCUUUUGCUUGGUGUAUUUUCUGUAUGACGGGCCAGCAUCAAUUUUGGCCGCUGGAAAAAGGCUCUAGAAAUGUGGCACCUCCGGGUGUGUUAUAGUCUAGGGUCAUAUACAGCGGCUGGGAUUGAGGUCUGCAGCACGCCUUUAUGGCUGGGGUUCGCCCA
RNAcentral lists this ribosomal RNA (1180 nucleotides) under Polyporales sp. RNAcentral describes it as "eukaryotic LSU rRNA". The stretch from base 557 to 1180 matches the Rfam family "Eukaryotic large subunit ribosomal RNA", at positions 1 to 633 of the family's 3401-position model. Lineage: Eukaryota; Fungi; Basidiomycota; Agaricomycetes; Polyporales. The record is from RNAcentral.